CGUCUCAGUUCGGAUUGCAGGCUGCAACUCGCCUGUAUGAAGUCGGAAUUGCUAGUAAUCGUGGAUCAGCAUGCCACGGUGAAUACGUUCCCGGGCCUUGUACACACCGCCCGUCACACCAUGAGAGCCGGGAACACCCGAAGUCCGUAGUCUAACCUAUAUGGAGGACGCGGCCGAAGGUGGGUUUGGUAAUUGGGGUGAAGUCGUAACAAGGUAGC
This 218-nucleotide ribosomal RNA is filed under the name uncultured bacterium. RNAcentral's name for it is "partial 16S ribosomal RNA". It matches the Rfam family "Bacterial small subunit ribosomal RNA", at positions 1284 to 1500 of the family's 1533-position model. The record is from RNAcentral.